AAAUAUUAAAAAAUAAAUAUAACAUCUAAUUUUCAUUUUAUAGAUUACAUUCAAAUAUUUGCAAUAUAAAGUUAUUAUGGUUAUCUUUGUGCAAGAAACUUUGACAUAAUUCCAGAUUAUUUCCUUAGUAAAUGGAUAAAUAUAAAUGAAUUUUCUGGAUAAAAGGAAGUGUAGUAUUUUAGAUUUUUCACAGGUUAUCAAAUUGAUUUCAGAAAGUAUGUACCACUUUGCAUUCCUACAGAGGUUUUAUAAAUACCUCUGUGUCACUAUCCCUCAUUAACAGUAAAUAUUGUUUUUGUCAAUUCUAUAAAUAGGAAACAUAUGAUUGUUGCAGACAUUUAUCCUGUUAUUUGUCAUCAUGAUACAUUUUGUUAUAUGUUUUUGGGGUAUUCUGCAAAGUGUUUUAACCCUUUCUUUCUCUUUUAUUUCUAUUAAGGUAAAUUCAUUGAUUGAUUGAAUUGGGUUGUGCACAAAAAAGGAAAAUAAAAGGUAACACUUUGAGAAAAUAUUAGCACUUACAAAUCUAUAAGACAAAUAUUAAUGAAACUUCAUGGUCCAAGAUUGUUUGUACCUCUAUUUGCCUGAAAGAGCACAGUGGAAAACGUUUAAGGUUCUUAUUUUCUAAAGUUUUAUAUUUCUACAACAUUGAGCCAGUUUUCUAGAGGAGAGAGACUGAAGAAUGGCAGCCAUGCAACCGGAAAAUUCUGUUACUGUGAUGCCUGUUCCCACUUAGAUAGCUUUUUCUUAUUUUGAUAUAAAACCUUUCCCCCCUUUAUUUUGAUUUUUUUAGUCUUAAAUAAUCAUAUUGCCUUGCUUUUAUUAUUCUAUUUCUUAGAAUUUAAGGGUGUUUUCCUGACUUUCCUGAUGGAUGACCUUGCUAAAAAUUCCAGGCGACGCUGGUAUCCAGAGAGGGUUCUGUGUGAAAAGAGAUUCCAUGAGACAAAUGGAAGAACAAGGAGAGGCGAAAGGAACAAUAGAGGUCUUUCAGAAGCAGGUCAACAAACAUUGAUGCAGCAUUUUCUUUGUGCGUGUUGAAGUAACAAUGAGCCUCAGAACUUCUAAUAAGCAGCAUAAUUGCCAUGUGGAGAAGGCUACAUUAUACAACACCAAUUUCUCUCUGAAGAUCCACCACCUCCGGAUGAAUGUUACUGAUUCCUACUGUCUAUUUCAUAGAUCUUCAACUCUUGUUCUUUUGUUUAAAGAUAUGAGUCUAAGCUUAGACAUAUAUGAUGCUUUCAAUUCAAAAAUGUUGUUUAGAAAAGGCGCUCAUUUAAAGAAUUUGCUGAAAGCUAAAGGAUAACCAAAGCAAAAGGCACACACAGGGUAACAUAAAUCUAGAAUAUAUGUUUUGCCAUAUGUAUUUUUCUCAUUUCCAAUCUAUUGUUAAAUACAUGGCAUCCUCCUACCACACCCUUACUUCCACUAGGCAGAGCAUCCAUUUAUUCUCUACCAUGCACAAGUCUUUGGCUUCAAAGUCAUAGGUUUCCAUGGUUACAGUUCUUCAUUGGUGUUCUUAUUUUCCUCAGGUAACUGAUAUUAAACUGGACUUCCCUCUCUUGCUCAAACCUCUGAGGUCCUCAUAGGCUAGAUUAUCAUCAAUAUAAUAUGACAACCUUAAGAUUCAUAUUAAACACAAACACUCUUGGUAAUUGGAAGGGAGAAAGUGAGAGGGAGGAGUCUUGAAAGAGAAUAUUGUUUCAUUACCUUUUCUUUCAAUUUUUGGGUAGCUUUUAUGGUCGUAAAGUAGCCUUUGGGAAAAAAUAUUGGAGACACUUGCAGUUUUAAGGCUUUAUCAAUGUCUGGUAAUGUGAUGUGGAGAUGAUAGAGCUUAAAUGUGAUGUGUUAAGCCACUGUUUCAGCACAUUUAAGCCAUGACUAAAAAGAGAAUUAUGAAUAUACCUGUAAAAAAGGAUAGAUGAGAAAUAAAGAAGUGUUGAAGCAUUCGGAUGACUAGUGAAGGAAAUCUCUUAGUCUAAAUUGGUCUGAUAGUCUUAAAAUGUGGAAUAGAACGUGGAGAAGAGUCCAUAACUAUCGAGCCAUAAGAGUGUAAUACAUACUAGAAGGGUAUUUGGGGGCUCAGGAGGAGGUGGGGAUGGUUAGCAGGUACAAAAUAAAAUAGAGUGAAUGAAUAAGACCUAC
RNAcentral lists this long non-coding RNA (2139 nucleotides) under Homo sapiens (human). RNAcentral's name for it is "HSALNT0301931". The record is from RNAcentral. Lineage: Eukaryota; Metazoa; Chordata; Mammalia; Primates; Hominidae.